This 209-nucleotide ribosomal RNA is filed under the name uncultured bacterium. RNAcentral's name for it is "partial 16S ribosomal RNA". It matches the Rfam family "Bacterial small subunit ribosomal RNA", at positions 524 to 733 of the family's 1533-position model. The record is from RNAcentral.
UACGUAGGGACCGAGCGUUGUCCGGAAUCAUUGGGCGUAAAGAGCGUGUAGGCGGCCCUUAAGUCCUGCGUGAAAUCCCACGGCUCAACCGUGGAAGUGCACUCGAAACUGCGCAGCUAGAGUCCUGGAGAGGAAGGUGGAAUGCUUGGUGUAGAGGUGAAAUUCGUAGAUAUCAAGCGGAACACCGGUGGCGAAGGCGGCCUUCUGGA